GAUGAACGCUGGCGGCGUGCCUAAUACAUGCAAGUCGAGCGAACAGACGAGGAGCUUGCUCCUCUGACGUUAGCGGCGGACGGGUGAGUAACACGUGGAUAACCUACCUAUAAGACUGGGAUAACUUCGGGAAACCGGAGCUAAUACCGGAUAAUAUAUUGAACCGCAUGGUUCAAUAGUGAAAGACGGUUUUGCUGUCACUUAUAGAUGGAUCCGCGCCGCAUUAGCUAGUUGGUAAGGUAACGGCUUACCAAGGCGACGAUGCGUAGCCGACCUGAGAGGGUGAACGCCCCACCUGGAACUGAGACACGGCCCAGACUCCUACGGGGGGCAGCAGUAGGGAAUCUUCCGAAAUGGGCGAAAGCCUGACGGAGCAACGCCGCGUGAGUGAUGAAGGUCUUCGGAUCGUAAAACGCUUUUAUUAGGGAAAAAAAAAUGUGUAAGUAACUAUGCACGUCUUGACGGUACCUAAUCAGAAAGCCCCGGCUAACUACGU
RNAcentral lists this ribosomal RNA (496 nucleotides) under uncultured bacterium. RNAcentral describes it as "partial 16S ribosomal RNA". It matches the Rfam family "Bacterial small subunit ribosomal RNA", at positions 28 to 506 of the family's 1533-position model. The record is from RNAcentral.